This 129-nucleotide small nucleolar RNA is filed under the name Nannospalax galili (Upper Galilee mountains blind mole rat). The record is from RNAcentral. Lineage: Eukaryota; Metazoa; Chordata; Mammalia; Rodentia; Spalacidae.
UUCCAAAGUGUUGAGCUCAGUGCAGGCGGCUCCCCUGUUCUGGUAAUUAAACUUUGGGACAUUGAAAUGGGCUUGGAGAGCUAUUGGAUAGAAGUGUUACUCUAUUCAUUUACCUCCCACCCUACAAAC